This 497-nucleotide ribosomal RNA is filed under the name uncultured bacterium. RNAcentral's name for it is "partial 16S ribosomal RNA". It matches the Rfam family "Bacterial small subunit ribosomal RNA", at positions 28 to 507 of the family's 1533-position model. The record is from RNAcentral.
GACGAACGCUGGCGGCGUGCCUAAUACAUGCAAGUUGAGCGCUGAAGGUUGGUACUUGUACCAACUGGAUGAGCAGCGAACGGGUGAGUAACGCGUGGGGAAUCUGCCUUUGAUCGGGGGACAACAUUUGGAAACGAAUGCUAAUACCGCAUAAAAACUUUAAACACAAGUUUUAAGUUUGAAAGAUGCAAUUGCAUCACUCAAAGAUGAUCCCGCGUUGUAUUAGCUAGUUGGUGAGGUAAAGGCUCACCAAGGCGAUGAUACAUAGCCGACCUGAGAGGGUGGUCGGCCACAUUGGGACUGAGACACGGCCCAAACUCCUACGGGAGGCAGCAGUAGGGAAUCUUCGGCAAUAGACGAAAGUCUGACCGAGCAACGCCGCGUGAGUGAAGAAGGUUUUCGGAUCGUAAAACUCUGUUGGUAGAGAAGAACGUUGGGGAGAGUGGAAAGCUCAUCAAGUGACGGUAACUACCCAGAAAGGGACGGCUAACUACGUG